RNAcentral lists this ribosomal RNA (460 nucleotides) under uncultured bacterium. Its description in RNAcentral is "partial 16S ribosomal RNA". It matches the Rfam family "Bacterial small subunit ribosomal RNA", at positions 338 to 795 of the family's 1533-position model. The record is from RNAcentral.
CCUACGGGAGGCAGCAGUGAGGAAUAUUGGUCAAUGGGCGGAAGCCUGAACCAGCCAAGUAGCGUGCAGGAUGACGGCCCUACGGGUUGUAAACUGCUUUUAUACGGGAAUAACGCGCCUUCCGUGUAGGUCUUUGCAUGUACCGUAUGAAUAAGGACCGGCUAAUUCCGUUCCAGCAGCCGCGGUAAUACGGAUGGUCCGGGCGUUAUCCGGAUUUAUUGGGUUUAAAGGGUGCGUAGGCCGCAGGUCAAGCGAGCUGUGAAAUGUCCGGGCUCAACCCGGGCCUUGCAGCGCGAACUGGCGUGCGUGAGUCCGCGGAAAGCAGGCGGAAUUCGUGGUGUAGCGGUGAAAUGCUUAGAUAUGACGAAGAACCCCGAUUGCGAAGGCAGCUUGCUGCAGCGGAACUGACGCUGAUGCUCGAAAGCGCGGGUAUCGAACAGGAUUAGAUACCCGGGUAGUC